UUGCUGUUGCCCGCCUGCAUGAAGCCUUGACUGAGGCGAUGCAACUCAGUGAUGAAUUGACAUAAAAAAACAU
RNAcentral lists this transfer RNA (73 nucleotides) under Acinetobacter baumannii BJAB07104. RNAcentral's name for it is "tRNA-Asn". Lineage: Bacteria; Pseudomonadati; Pseudomonadota; Gammaproteobacteria; Moraxellales; Moraxellaceae. The record is from RNAcentral.